RNAcentral lists this ribosomal RNA (253 nucleotides) under uncultured bacterium. RNAcentral's name for it is "partial 16S ribosomal RNA". It matches the Rfam family "Bacterial small subunit ribosomal RNA", at positions 524 to 776 of the family's 1533-position model. The record is from RNAcentral.
UACAGGGGGUGCAAACGUUGCUCGGAAUCAUUGGGCGUAAAGCGCACGUAGGCGGUUCGUUAUGUCGGAUGUGAAAGCCCUUGGCUUAACCGAGGAAGUGCAUCCGAAACUGGCGAGCUAGAGUACGAAAGAGGAUCGCGGAAUUCCCGGUGUAGAGGUGAAAUUCGUAGAUAUUGGGAAGAACACCGGUGGCGAAGGCGGCUCACUGGACCGAUACUGACGCUGAGGCGCGAAAGCGUGGGGAGCAAACAGG